This 468-nucleotide ribosomal RNA is filed under the name uncultured bacterium. Its description in RNAcentral is "partial 16S ribosomal RNA". It matches the Rfam family "Bacterial small subunit ribosomal RNA", at positions 28 to 507 of the family's 1533-position model. The record is from RNAcentral.
GACGAACGCUGGCGGCGUGCUUAACACAUGCAAGUCGAACGGUGAAGCUCCAGCUUUCUGGAGUGGAUCAGUGGCGAACGGGUGAGUAACACGUGAGCAACCUGCCCCCGACUCUGGAAUAAGCACUGGAAACAGCGGCUAAUACUGGAUACGAGAUCAACCCGCAUGGUUAUGGUCUGGAAAGUUUUUCGGUUUGGGAUGGGCUCGCGGCCUAUCAGCUUGUUGGUGAGGUAAUGGCUCACCAAGGCGACGACGGAUAGACGGCCUGAGAGGGCGAACGGCCACACGGGGACUGAGAGACGGAGCAGUCUGCUACGGGAGGCAGCAGUGGGGAAUCUUGCGCAAUGGGCGAGAGUGUGAUGCAGCGACGUCGGGUGAGGGAUGAAGGCCCUCGGGUUGUAAACCUCUUUCAGCAGGGAAGAAGCGAAAGUGACGGUACCUGCAGAAGAAGCACCGGCUAACUACGUG